Molecule: non-coding RNA, 98 nt
Filed under: Rhodobacterales bacterium
Lineage: Bacteria; Pseudomonadati; Pseudomonadota; Alphaproteobacteria; Rhodobacterales
Description: TPP sequence
Rfam family: TPP riboswitch aptamer (THI element)
About the family: Vitamin B(1) in its active form thiamin pyrophosphate (TPP) is an essential coenzyme that is synthesised by coupling of pyrimidine and thiazole moieties in bacteria. The previously detected thiamin-regulatory element, thi box was extended, resulting in a new, highly conserved RNA secondary structure, the THI element, which is widely distributed in eubacteria and also occurs in some archaea.
Source: RNAcentral
AGCGUCACCUCGGGGUGCCCACAAGGCUGAGAUGCGAAAGCGGACCCGUUGAACCUGAACCGGAUCAUACCGGCGGAGGGAAGGUGCAUGGAAUUCUC